UACAGAGGUGGCAAGCGUUGUUCGGAAUUACUGGUCGUAAAGGGCGCGUAGGCGGCCUACUAAGUCAGACGUGAAAUCCCCCGGCUUAACCUGGGAACUGCGUCUGAUACUGGAAGGCUUGAGGAUGGGAGAGGGAUGUAGAAUUCCAGGUGUAGCGGUGAAAUGCGUAGAUAUCAGGAGGAACACCGGUGGCGAAGGCGGGUCUCUGGGCCGAUACUGACGCUGAGGAGCGAAAGCGUGGGGAGCGAACAGG
RNAcentral lists this ribosomal RNA (253 nucleotides) under uncultured bacterium. RNAcentral describes it as "partial 16S ribosomal RNA". It matches the Rfam family "Bacterial small subunit ribosomal RNA", at positions 524 to 776 of the family's 1533-position model. The record is from RNAcentral.